Long non-coding RNA from Ipomoea nil (Japanese morning glory), 858 nucleotides. RefSeq lists it as uncharacterized. The record is from RefSeq and is a predicted model, not a curated record. Lineage: Eukaryota; Viridiplantae; Streptophyta; Magnoliopsida; Solanales; Convolvulaceae. The transcript is spliced from 4 exons.
UCACCAAGUAGUGUUUCGCGGUUUCUCCCUUAUCCUUCCUGCCUCCUCCCUCCUCCAGUAGAACAAAUCUGCUAAACCCAUCAAGUGUGAACAGCUCCCACAUCUGACAUCUCUCUCACCCAAAUCCAUCUUCAUUUCCUCAAACCCAUUUUCACGUCUCACAACUUCACCAUUUUCACCGUCUCACCAUCAAAUGGACUCUGUCACCGUCAUCCGACGUCGCCAAGAACGGAUAGAGAAACAGAUCUGCCACCACGCUCGUCGCCGGUGGAGAAACAGAUCUGCCACCAUCGCCCGUCGCCGGUGUAGAAACAGAUCUGCUAGAUCAUUAUCCCAGUGUUAAAUUUGUGGGGCAAGAUUGCAAGAGUUAUGGCAGAAAGAAGAUAAUGGAGUGACUGGGAUUCUCCUCUUUUAGGAUUCUGCAGAGGCUAGUACUGUGGAUCAUGCUUUGUCUCCAGGGGAGUUGCUGCUCGAGCUCUGCAUCCCUCAAGAGGAGUAGAGAGACCAAGUGGGAGAGUGACUUACACAGUUUUGCUAUAAGGACUUUGUAAAUUCCGUGUACAGGAGAUUACCAGAGGGACUUAUUACACAACACAAAUUACUUCUCUUGAGUUGACUAAAGCUGAGAUGGAGCAAGUUGAGCAAGAUUAGGAAUUCAUUGUCUUGUCAUGUCAAUUCAAAGCUACUGCAAUGGAGCUUAUCUCUAUUCUUGAGCAUGUUAAAAUUCAGGCUUAUCAUUAAUUAUUUUGUUCUCAAUGAAUUUAUGGUUAACAAGUCUUAUGAUUUAUAAUGGAAGAAAAAAAAGACAGACAAAAUGUGGUAAAUUUAAGAUAUUAUUAUUCAGUAAAAUGGAAAAAA